Peromyscus californicus insignis is the source of this 3781-nucleotide long non-coding RNA. RefSeq lists it as uncharacterized. NCBI's taxonomy places the organism in Eukaryota, Metazoa, Chordata, Mammalia, Rodentia, Cricetidae. The record is from RefSeq and is a predicted model, not a curated record. The transcript is spliced from 4 exons.
AGCAACCGAGUACAGCCCCCUUCCUCCCUGACACCAAGCAGAGAGAGCAUCCAGCAUUGGCAGUGCACCGCAGUCUUGGAGUAGUGCAGACUCUGUGGGCUGUCCACCCCUUACCAAUGAGCCUAGCCAGGCUGCAAGGCAGAGAAGUGAAAAGGAGGAGCUGGGAGAGGGGAGGGGGAACAACGCCUCGGAGAUGGAUUUGCUGCUCUUUUUCUCAGCUGUUGGGUUCCAAACCUGGGGUUCUGCUCCUGAAAGAGAGUGUGGAAGACAGGAGAACACCAGGCUAACUCUACCUCUGCUACCAAUGUGCCCUGUGACCAUGGCAUCCAGGGAGCUGACUAAUCAAGACACUGAGUUCCAAAGACCACUCGCCUCACAAAACAGAGGGACAAGCAGACAGGGUGUGCUUCCUGAUGAGAGGUCACAGCACCCUCCCACAAGCCAGCUGAGAAGAUCCACCUUCCGCUUCCAGCAAUCAGUUUGCAGGAGACAGCGCGGCCAGAGAACGCAUUGUGAGCGUAACCUGCAGCGUCCACACUGUGAGACAGGGCACAGAAUGUGCUACCCUGGCUUGUGUAACUCCAAGGGAAGGCUGCAAGAGGAACCAGAGUACAAGAGGCUGAUGGGAUGUGUCGAUUUUCUAUUUAAAGGAAAAGACCGCACAAGAAUGUCGACCGACUGUCACAUGCUGGCACCCGAGUCCCAGGCUCUCCCCACACAAGGUUUCCUUCCCACCCGGCCACGACCAUCACCUGAACACGGGCAUGCUCUGUGUGGAUAAAUGGAUGGUUAGUCAGAGGAAUGUUCUGCUCCAGUGUGAAGUCCACAAAAAACUUGGCGAUGGAGAACAUGAUAAACAAUCCAUUUGGGGAGUUUUCAGAAAAGGGUUUGAAUCCAUUUUAAACGUUCCAGAGUCCUGACUGUGGGGGCUUCUGGUCUACAAGAUAAAGUCCCAUGUUCUGAACUUGGUUACCGAGGAGGCUCACCGUCAUCUUCCUGUCUCCCUCUGAGGAAACACCUCCACAAAGCAGGCAUUCAGUGGGAAUCUGCUGGACUAACAGAUCAUAACAUGGAUGCUUCCUUUCUGAAGAGCUCACUGUCUCCCCAACUCCAGUCACUAGGAACCGUUCACCACCAAAUGCCUCCCACCUUCUCACCUUCGGCUUGUUCUUCUCACCACCCCCUUUGUGUGAAUGCUUUCCCUGUUUGUUUUCAGUCUGUGUAAACCUCGCCCAUUCUUCAAAGCCUGGUGUCAAUUUUACCUCUUCCGCGAUGUCUUUAUGAACAUAACAUAUUUCACACAUUGAGCAUUUGUAUUGCUAAUUACUCAGUUAUUGUUUUUGUCUUGUUUGAGAAAGAAUCUUACUACACAGCCCAGGCUAGCCUCAAACUCCCAAACAUACUACAGGCUUGUACUGCCUUAGCUAGCUUCUUAUUUUUUAAAAUAAUACAUUCAUUUAUUUAUUGUGUGUGUGUGUGUGUGUGUGUGUGUGUGUGUGUGUGUGUGUGCGCAUGUUUGUGAGGGUAAAGGCAUGCAUGUGUCACAGCUCAUAUAUACAGACCAGAAGACAAUUUGCAGGACAUGGUUCUCUCCUUCUGAUAUAUAUGUUUUGGGAAUUGAAUUCAGAUCAUCCACAUGGGUGGGAAGGGCCUGCUGGGCCACUUUGACAGCUUCUUGUUAGCUGGUUUUAAAUGGCUUUUUGAGUGACAAUUUUUAAGCUGUUUCGAAGCAGGUGACUUAUGCUACUUUUCACCUUCACCCCAUAAAUCUAGUUUCAUACCUUAGAAAGAAGAGAUGUCUGGCAAUUUUUGAUUCCUUUGUUUUGUUUGACACAACCCUGUUGGAAACUCAGGCCCUGAAAUCAGACCCAAAUUGGAACCUCAAAUAUACGUGUUACCCCUGUAACCCCAAAGAAGCCUUCUAGCUUCCCAGAUUUUGUGAAGUUGAGAAAUUAAUAAGACUGACUCAUUUCUGUGAAGGGAAUUAAGUUAGACCAUGAAUAUAUGCUGGUUAACUAGGUGCUUAGCUCAGGAAAAACUUUUAAGUACAAUGCCGUUAUUGACAUCAGUGAUGAAGAUGCGUGUGAUUCUUCAGACACAGAUUAGACCUCUGUCAAUUAGACCAAGGUCAAAUGAAUAUGUCACUGAAACCCUUUGACUUCUUUGCUCCACGUGACACUGGGGAAGGCAAACGCCGGCGAUGGCCACUCAGCAGCAGAGUUUUAAGUAACGUUUUAACACAGCUCCUUCCAAGGAUGACUUCCCCUCCAUCUAUCAGCUCAUCACCCAAGCACUCAGCCAGAGCAAGAGUCCAUUAGCCCUACACUGGGGUGAUGUGGAAAUAAAAGCAGAGAGUUGCUGUGUAUUGCUUUGCAAUAAUUUAACCAAACAUGGACAAGCACACUUGGAGGCUUUUAUCAGAAAAACCCUGAAAGGCUGUGACGCUCACAGGCCAGUGGUCUCAGGGCGUCAAGCUGUUUUCAACUUGCCCUUCCUGCAUUAGAGAAAUGAGUUAAUCUGUUCUCAGGCUUUUAAUCGAAAGCUAGUAAAUCUGUUUUUUGGACAUUUCUGCACCUUAAUGAUACUCGUGUUUGAGGGAAGGCCCCUUGAAACCCUGGACUGUGGUUUCAUCUGAAGCCUGAACAGAAACAAAGGCUUAUGAUAAGAGACUUACAUGGGGGAGUAAUGAACAUUGUGAGUACCACUUUCUGUCCCCAAGACUCAGCAGCAAAAUAACGUCUCUUGGAGAGCUAGACUAGGUUCAACGGUGGGAGAGGAGGAGGGAUCAGACAAAACACCACAUUGUUCAGUGAGCUAUUUAAGAACAGACAGAAACACUAACACGGAUAACAGAAAAAAGCAAUCCAGACUAUGAACACAUCAUUUUUUAACAUUUUGGAAGCAGUUCAUAGCAUUGAAUGGACCAGGAAAAUAGCGGAAGCAUGGCUACCGGUGAUACAUGGAAGCUCCCAGUACACACCCACUCCUCAUCAUCGCUAGCAUGUCUGAGCACCUGUGCAGUAAAGCUAUUAACAUGAAUGUCUACGCGGCUGUUAACUCGUAGUUUGUCCACAUGAGAGUCUCUCUGGGGAAGGAAAUAUCAGAGAGUGCAAAAAAAAAAAAAAAUCUGCAAGUGCAGAACCAUUUUCCAAAAUGACUGAGCAAUCUCUAAGCUACGCUUUCAAGGACUUCAAGCUUUGGGGAAAGAUGAUCUGAGUUCUUCAAGUAUUCCUUUGUGUUACAGUUUCUUCGUGUUUAAGGAGGCAAAGAUGAAACUCUUCAGAGGACUUUGUUUUCCUUUUAACUUAGAUUUGUUUAUUUUAUGAAUAGGCAUAUACGUAUGUGUAUCACAUGUGUGCCUUCUACCUGCACGGAUCAGAAGAGGACACUGGAUCCCCUGGAGCCUGAGUCACAGAUGGUUGUGAGUUGCCGUGUGGGUGCUAGGCAAUGAACCCAGGUCUUCUGCAAGAGCAGCAAGUGCUCUUAACCACCAAGCCAUCCCUCCAGUCCAGGAUGUGUUUUUCUUAUGAGAGGUUUACCUGGUUCUCAGGCAUGUUCUUGUCCACCAUCAAAUUAUCCUGCCUAUGUGUGUAAGAGAAGCACUUUGGGGAUUUCUUUUUUUGAGGUAAGGUUUCUCUGUGUAGUUUUGGUGCCUGUCCUGGACCUCGUUCUGUAGACCAGGCUGGCCUCGAACUCACAGAGAUCCGCCCGGCUCUGCCUCCUGAGUGCUGGGAUUAAAGGUGUGCACCACUGUCGCCCUGGGGAUUUCCUCUUAAAUGUA